RNAcentral lists this non-coding RNA (95 nucleotides) under Legionella israelensis. RNAcentral's name for it is "RAGATH-13 RNA". It matches the Rfam family "RAGATH-13 RNA". The record is from Rfam by way of RNAcentral. Lineage: Bacteria; Pseudomonadati; Pseudomonadota; Gammaproteobacteria; Legionellales; Legionellaceae.
UUUGAUUUGCCCCCUGUUUCGAGCUUUAUGGCAUAAGCCAGGUUUCGCCUUUGAGUGAGCCGCUCGACCAACACUAAACCAAAGCCAGGGCAAAU